This 97-nucleotide ribosomal RNA is filed under the name Acanthosepion pharaonis. The record is from RNAcentral. Lineage: Eukaryota; Metazoa; Mollusca; Cephalopoda; Sepiida; Sepiidae.
AGUACCCCCGGUUCCCGUACGAUCACUGAAGUUAAGCAACAUCGAUCCUGGUUAGUUCCUAGAUGGGUGAUCUUUUGGGAAUACCAGGUGCCGUAAG